CAGAUAAUUAUUUACACAGAAGGAGAAUAAUUAGCAGCCCAGGAAACGCCGCUUUGUUCUCAGCUCUCUGCCCCUGCCUGCCUCUCUUGUCUGAAGUGGCGCCUCUGCUGGGAAGAGAGACAUCAAAGCCUGCGGAGGAGGCUUUACGCAGAGAGGGAUUUUCUUUGUCUGGCUGAAAAGCAAAGAAAGACAAUCUUGGCUUGUUUGUCUCUCUACCCCCUGACUGCUGCUGUGUCUCAGGCCUGAGGACCUGCCAGUGGCCCUGCAGAGUCUACUGUCAGUAUCUGCCAUUGCUGAAUCCAGACAGAAGCCAGUUGACCCAGGAGCCUCAAACACACCUGUGGGAGACAGCUCCUUUGCAACUUCCUGCAUUGCAGAACAGAGCAGGGAAAAGGUCAGGAGGUCAUGGACCAGCAGAAUCCAGCUUCAAAACACAAGGUUAGGUGGUUUCUCUGAUAUUUCCUUAAAUCAGGGGUUGGUGAACUUUUUCCUAUAAAGAGCCAGGUAGUACAUACUUUAGGCUCUGUGAGCCAUUCAGGGUAUUUGGUCUCUGCUGCAGCUACUCAAAUCUUCUGUUGUAGUUCAAAGCAGCCAUAGACCAUAUGUAAACAAAUUAUAUGUUCUGAUGAAACUAUAUAAAAACAAGGAGUGAGUAGAAUGUGGCCCACAGGCCAUAGUUCCCUGGUCCCUGCCCUAGAGAGCUCACUAAAGGACGCUGGGGAUGUACGAAUGCUUUACUUCUUUCAACAGGAACAGAAUCCUGUACUGCACUGAUCACAAGGCUAAUAAAAUAAUCAUUUAAAAGAAACAUUUUUAUGCUUAAAGUUGUUUCCCCAGAAUUCUGACUAGCAAAGUCUGUCCUCAGCUGUCACAAUAAUCGACCACAUUAUUCUCACAUGUGUCUUUAGGACAUGCCAACACGUUGCAACCUAGUGCCAUACACCUUCUCCAGCCUUUCCCAGGACAGCAUGCAAUUUCUUCUUCCAAGAGCUCCAGGCACAAGGGAAAUGUGAACAACAGGGGGUUGAUUUUGAAUUGUACGUAAUUAACCACAAGUCAAGGGCUGAUCUCUCAUUGCAGAGGCUAAUUCUGUCUGUGGAAUUGUGAGACUAAUUCUAUACAAUGCAUUCUUGGGGUUAGAAGAUGGAGUUUGGGAGGCAGUGGCAACAUGUUCAAGUGGAAAUUGAUCCAAAGUGGUGCAGACAGCUGCUUAGCCCAGGAAGACACCGUCCUCUUUCCCAAACUCAGGGCAUCCUCAAUGGGCACCUGAGCUUCCCUUGCCUAUGAAAGGGGCUUGGUUCUAAAUUUUGACACAUUCCUGACAUAGAAUUUCUCCCUUGAUGAACAACUUCUCUAGAAAACUCUCAUUUCUUAGAAUUCCAAAGUGGAAAUGCUUAUCCUGGCAUUUGCAUAAUUCCUCUUUUCCCACCCUGGAGUUGGGCUGUUCUAUACUUAAUAACUCACACAAUCUCCGUCUCAUUCACUCCACAUUUGGGUCCUCUUCCUUUAGUUCUUUUGACUCCAUUUGCUAAUGCUUCCAAGAUCCAUCAUCCCAGUAGCCAUUGCCUUUGAAGAGGUAAAGUAACAAGCAAGAUGACAUAGACUUGUUUGGCUGGAAGAGUCUUGACAGAAUUUGCUGACCACGUGGCAUUCACCACUUCUGGGAGUCAGAAAAUGUCCUUGUCCAAGUCUACCUCAUAGUGGGAAACAGUCCCAAAGGUUUUGGGAGGGCCUAUAUUAUAUUGUCCUUUUCUCCCAAUUCUAUAACCUUUUCUUUUAUCAUGGUCACUUAUUUUAAAAAGGUGAAGAGGCAAAGAGAAGAGCUAUCUUACUCACAAGUGUUGAUAUGCAACAAAUUAAUACUUUUAACCUGCUCCUUCCACCCUUAAAUCUCAGCUUUGUCCAUGUCUUAGUCCAUUUAGUGUUGCUAUAAAGGAAUUCCUGAGGCUGCGUAAUUAUAAAGAAAAGAGGAUUUUUUGACUCAUGGUUCUGCAGGCUGUACAAGAAACAGUAUCUGCAUCUGGUGAGGGCCUCAAGCUGCUUCCACUCAUGAUGGAAGACAAAGGUGAGUGUAUGUGCAGGGAUCCCACAGUGAGAGAGGAAGAAAGAGAGAGAGGCAGGGGAGAUGCUAGGCUCUUUUUAACAACCAGCGCUUGCAGGAAGUAAUGAGUGAGAACUCAGUC
RNAcentral lists this long non-coding RNA (2183 nucleotides) under Homo sapiens (human). RNAcentral describes it as "HSALNT0276238". Lineage: Eukaryota; Metazoa; Chordata; Mammalia; Primates; Hominidae. The record is from RNAcentral.